This 30-nucleotide non-coding RNA is filed under the name Mus musculus (house mouse). Lineage: Eukaryota; Metazoa; Chordata; Mammalia; Rodentia; Muridae. The record is from RNAcentral.
UCACCGAUAUCACGGGCGGUCUGCCACUGU